AGGCAUCCAUAAUUUUUGUUUUAAAAAAUUUAACACUGACUUCAUUAACUUUUUCAAUAUUGCUCAUCUUAUGUGUUUUUUCAUAAGUGGAAUAGUAUUUUAUUCGAGGAAGGAAUAUGCAAAAUGAAGUAGAAUUCAACACAAUGCAAUGAGACUUUUCGGUUCCGGCCUACGUAAGAUUAAAAGAUGGCCAUGAUCUCACCUUUAAUUCAUGUUGGAUACUAAAACACUGCUUGGAUGAAAUUAACACCUGGACAAACACUGUUAUAUGGUUUGAAGCUAAAUAUGCUACCUGGACCUCCUCAACCAAAGCCAAGUAAUCUGAAGAUGGAAACCAGACUGGCUAGAUGAUUGAUACUCUCUGCUGAUGAAAAAGAAAAAAAAAAGGGAGAUAAAAAGGAAA
This is a non-coding RNA of Camellia sinensis, 403 nucleotides long. The record is from RefSeq and is a predicted model, not a curated record. NCBI's taxonomy places the organism in Eukaryota, Viridiplantae, Streptophyta, Magnoliopsida, Ericales, Theaceae.